GAUGAACGCUGGCGGCGUGCCUAAUACAUGCAAGUCGAGCGAACGGACGAGAAGCUUGCUUCUCUGAUGUUAGCGGCGGACGGGUGAGUAACACGUGGAUAACCUACCUAUAAGACUGGGAUAACUUCGGGAAACCGGAGCUAAUACCGGAUGAUAUUUUGAACCGCAUGGUUCAAAAGUGAAAGACGGUCUUGCUGUCACUUAUAGAUGUAUCCGCGCUGCAUUAGCUAGUUGGUAAGGUAACGGCUUACCAAGGCAACGAUGCAUAGCCGACCUGAGAGGGUGAUCGGCCACACUGGAACUGAGGCACGGUCCAGACUCCUACGGGAGGCAGCAGUAGGGAAUCUUCCGCAAUGGGCGAAAGCCUGACGGAGCAACGCCGCGUGAGUGAUGAAGGUCUUCGGAUCGUAAAACUCUGUUAUUAGGGAAGAACAUAUGUGUAAGUAACUGUGCACAUCUUGACGGUACCUAAUCAGAAAGCCACGGCUAACUACGUG
RNAcentral lists this ribosomal RNA (497 nucleotides) under uncultured bacterium. Its description in RNAcentral is "partial 16S ribosomal RNA". It matches the Rfam family "Bacterial small subunit ribosomal RNA", at positions 28 to 507 of the family's 1533-position model. The record is from RNAcentral.